Dermacentor albipictus is the source of this 695-nucleotide non-coding RNA. NCBI's taxonomy places the organism in Eukaryota, Metazoa, Arthropoda, Arachnida, Ixodida, Ixodidae. The record is from RefSeq and is a predicted model, not a curated record.
UAAGGACACCCUCGGGGUACGACAAAAUCAACGCAGGAGUACUUCGGUUGAAACCAGCUUGAUUCCACUUUCCGAUGGUUUUGCAGUUUCUAGAAGGUGGCACCAGCGGCGUAUCGUGCACCAUCGCCCGCGGCUGUUGUUGCGAAGUAUACUUGCGAACGUUGCCGGAGAGCGUUCAAGAAACCCCGUUGCAAGGCGUGAUCCGGCGCCACUAAUUUUUCGCAUAGUUGCGAGCUGUGUGCUGCGAAUAGUCGCCCUUAACUGUCUUGUUUGCUGUGAGAUGGACUUUGUGCGAGCGCCUGUCGACCGAGGUGUGGACAUCCUGAGUGGUUGCUUCCUGGCGGAUCAAGGCAGAGUUGCCGCGCUGGAGAAUGCAUCUAUGAGGGUCGUCUCUGCGAAGUAAUAAAGGGCCAUUCUACCCUGAGCAAAUGGAUGACCCACGGUGCUGUUAACAUCGUGGUAAGAAAUGUUCGCAAUCACCCAUCGGUCGUUUUCAAAGCACAAUCGGCCACACGACAAACGAAGCCGAACGUUUUGUCCACGAAGUCCCGGCUCAAUCACGUGUCCGCACCAAUGUCAGUGCUUCGGAAUGGGGCACUCAUUACCCGCAAAUCACCAUAAAGGGCAACAACUUGGAGUUUCCUGCGCCAUCAUAUCACUGGUUAUAUACAGUUUCAUGUAUGAAGUUUCAUGAC